UAUACUCACAGGCAAGGACGUUAUUCUAGGGAUUUUUGUGCAAGAAUUUUAUAUAGAUGCAGUAACUGCAACGUAACCUAUACUUUGGUUACUAUUUGAAGAAAUUUAUUAUUAAACAAAAAAUAGGAUAAUCGAAGUAAUCAAAUGUGAAGUUGAGAUUAUAUAAAACGUAGAAGAUAAAAAGAAUUUGACGGAAACACGAGGUAGAGGUGACAGAUUAAACGUAUAUAUACAGUGUAGGCGGGAAAAUUACAUGGAUCUGCUAGAGAUUAAUUUACCCAAAUUGUUUUCGUAUUUUCAUUUGUUGAGGUGUGUGCGUUUGACACGAUGGAGAACCCUAACGAUUCGACACGUUAAUACGCUCUUUCGUAGUAGGGUAAACCAGCGUUGUAUUCGCAAUACGGCAGCUGACCCAUCUUUGUUGUAAAAAUGCCAUUGCACGAUCCCUAUGUAAUUGCACUCUCGACGCGGUUUGUCAACAGGAAAAAUGUGAUUUACAGAAUACUUGGUGGAUAAUUUGAAGGGAAGUGUAAAUCCGGGAAAUCGGACAAGCGGAUAAAAUAAACGCUCGAGUGUUCAGCCGUUUAAAAGGCAAAAAUCCCUCGAAAUCCGAUGCUUCUGGCGAACGAAAGAGAUUAGAGGAGGGUUAAUAUCAAGCUCAAGACGUUGCUCGCUUAGGGGUGAACACUCCAUCCGAGGAUGCUCGAAAAUCAAAACCGGAGGGGAUCGUUUCGGCGUAUGUAUAUAUAUACAUACAUACAUAUAAAAGAAACUCAUUCGAACAUUUCAAAUU
Molecule: long non-coding RNA, 793 nt
Organism: Eufriesea mexicana
Lineage: Eukaryota; Metazoa; Arthropoda; Insecta; Hymenoptera; Apidae
Exons: 3
Source: RefSeq, a predicted model, not a curated record